Athene cunicularia (burrowing owl) is the source of this 15044-nucleotide long non-coding RNA. RefSeq lists it as uncharacterized. Lineage: Eukaryota; Metazoa; Chordata; Aves; Strigiformes; Strigidae. The record is from RefSeq and is a predicted model, not a curated record. The transcript is spliced from 2 exons.
GCGGGACGCUGCUCGCCUGGUUUACCUGCCGUGCCGUUCCUAUAAGACUGCUGGCUGUCUCUGGUUUCUUCCUCUCCUUUUGUUUUUUUCGUUUUGUUUUGUUUUGUUUUUCCAUGGCGAUCGUGACGACCCGGGGCGGUUCGCAGGGAAGGGGAGGUGGGGAAGGGGAGGUGUGAGCUCGAGCGCCCGGCUCCCGCCGUCGGAAGUGCAGGGGAAAGUGAUGGCGAGUUCGCCUCCAGGUUGGCCGGCGGCAGUUUGUCCAAGACAGACGACUGGCCGUAGAGCCCGGCAGCCGGUGAAACGUGCCCGAGUAAUCUCUUUGGCAAUAUCUCUUACGAAAUAACCUGCUCAUGGUGUAUAAAACACGAUGGAAAAAUAGCACAGGUAUGACAGAUUUCUGACUGACCUGUACGUACGGUUAUUUUUACGAUGUGCCCUCAGAACUGACAACGUAUUGCAUUUCCCAAAGACAGGUUUUCAGGUUCGCUAGACGUGCGAGAGACAGGCAGGUCUCAUGUCGCAGACAUUUCGGUUAAUGUCUUGGGUAGGACAGACAAUGGGAGCCAAAAUACACAACUGGGAGGAAAACGGCAAUUGGUUGGUAUCACUAGGCGAAGGAAACAAGCGAGAGGAAGGACUAGUCAUCAUGCUUAAUCCCUUGUCAUUAUUAAAAUUAUAGUGUUGCUGGUUAGACACGCAGAUCGGAUGCGUCUGAAGGUGUCGAGGAUGAUGGAUUUAGUACAGAGGAGUAGCGUGUACUGGGUGACAUCGAGGUUUGUAGUCACAGAAAUUAGCAACUAAGUGUAGUCACAGAAAUUGCAACUUCCCCUCUGUGUGCGUGCGUGCGUGCGCGUGUGUGCAGAGCGGUUUGUUCCCUUAUGUUGCUUGCGGGAGUUCUCUCCAAGAAGGUGGGAUGAGGGAUUCCAGGGAAAAAAGCAGCACCAAGAGCCCAUUAAUUUGAUCCGUGUUAAAUAAAUGGAGAUCAGGGCGUUGGGAUUGACACUGCCAUGGGACAAAAGCAACAUUUGGGGGUUUAGCUGACAUUGGCUGAUACCAUUAACUCUUUCCUAACCAGCCUCAUCAAACCAACUCAUUAAUUCCUCCUCGCAAGAGUGAGCUGUCCUUGCUGAAAGUUUGAUUUAUAGCACCGCAUCCUCUCACCUCUUUUUUUGGGAAUGUAUGGUGACCCAGCACCACUAAUGCAAAAACCAGGAUGUACUUCCCUGGUGCGAGAAACUAGAUGGGGUUUUCAACUCGUUUUUCUCAAUAACAUGCCUUUGUUGGUUUUGUAGCAAGUCGCAGAGAUGAUGCUUAAUGCCCCGGUCUGUUAAUGAUGGAUUAAAAUGCUGAGUACAGCCUAAAAGAGACUUCUCUCUGAACGUGGAGAAUCCCCCCAGCACCAGGGGCCUUUGUGUACCAGGUUCCCUCAUUAGGCUUGCAAACCAAGAUGCUGCUGGGAUUUAAUGUUUGUGAUAAAUGAUAGGUUCUGAUGGCUUAUCGAUUUGUGCAGAAAGUGAGCUAUCUCUGGAAGAAACGAAUUUGUACAUUAUCAGAUCUUCCUAUGGGUUUGUGUGUAUCUCUGAGCACAUUUCCAGAACUUCCUCGCUCCUGACAGAGGUGCUCGACAGCCUUAAAAACUGCUCAGGCAUGUUAUGAGAAUGCCUCCCGUUAAAAUUGUUUAACCACUGUGACUAGUAAAAACUGUGGUUUUAUUAGCCACUUGUGUACUCUCAUAACCACCUGCCUUCACUCCUUUUCUUCACUCCCUCUCUCCCCCGCUCGGUCUCUCCUGUUUGUGCUCCAUCAGGUCCGUAAACACAAAAGCUCCUCUGCCGCUAUAUGGUGACUCCAAGGGAACAGGUUUCUCUUUCCAGAUGGGGGGAUGUCAGUAAGGUAUCACUUCUCUGCAGGUCGUGGCCCAUCACAAAGUUUUGUCACGGGAUGUGGCUAAUUUCUUUACAGAGAAGUGGUUUGUCAGUAGGAGAGGAAGAGUCCCCAAGCUGAAGAACUUUCUUACAUGUUUUUUUUUCCUUAUGUCGUCUUUUUUUUUUUUUUUUUUUUUUUUUAAUAAAGAGUGACAGCGGGGCUGCCUAAAGCACGUGUGCAGCGGCGGCGCUUUGGCAGCGAGGCCACCAGCUGGAAGGGUGUUGGAGAGUGACAGGGCCUACAUGAGGGCACUGCAGCAGCAGUGGUGGCUGCGGGAGGGCGGGCAAGGGCAGCCUCCCCGCAGGGCGAACUUCGGGGGUGCCUCCGGCCUGCGCUUGCAGGAAAGCACCAGCUCGACGUGGGUGAUCCCCCAUCACCUUGGUAGGCACGAUCCCAAGGAAGCGCGACGAGGAUCGAGGGGCUCACGUUCCACUACACGCUUGUAAGAUUUGCGGAUUGUGCUCAACAGUGGCUGCAAGUUGCGGAGAUGAUUGAAGGCAGGGGGCGGAACUGUGUUUAAAAAUGAAAUAAACGAAAAAUGAGAAUAAUAACAAUAAACAGUAAACUGGCUGAUCCCACGGAAACCAUUUCUCUCUGUUUCCUUUAAAUCUCUUCUUCUGCUGGUGCAAUGAAUGCAUAGGAUAUAACUCUCAAGGUUAGUACACGGAGUUGAAGACAGAUUCACAUGAAUGCUUUCCAGUCCCUGACCCUUGCAUUUUUAAUGGACUGCUACCCUCCCAGCAUUUUUUUUUAAACACUUGCAUUAUUUUUUCCUAUUUUUCUUGUACUGUUUUCACCUCAAAAGUGUCCCAACGCUCUAGUAUUUUUCAUAGAAUGUUAUUAUUACUAGGAAAUUUUAUGUAUGGUAAUAAUAAAUCUAUAAAAAUAAGAUUGACGUCAUGUUGCACGCUGCCUACUUGUGUAUGUAUAUUCUGUGUUCAUUCAGAUUUACAGUCGGUUUAAAGAGACAUAAUCUUUAUUUACCCAUAGAGACUACUUAUUUUCCUCUGAUUGGUAUACGCGUCUGUAACUUCUGCUGCAGGUUAUGAAGAUUAGGAGCCUGACGUUGCUUUACAUCCCCCUUUCUUUGAAGUAAACCAUCCCGAUUCAGCGUAUGAGUCUCGGUUGCCCUGCUCCUCGUUUUCAUUAGCGUGGCAGCAAAGUCAGGCAGAGGGUUGGCAGGGUCUGAAGGGUUCGGCCCAAAUGUGAAAUACCUGCUGUUUGGGCUUACUGUCGUCAUAGCUGGUGCCACUUGUUUUAUUCCUAACAGCCGCGCUAAUUGAUAUGUGCACUGUUAAAGUAAACGUUUGCAUACUGACCUGAAAUAGUAAAUACCAGCAUCCAAAACCGAGGCACCUCGCUGAGUUGCAUUUCAAGCCAGCAGGAGUUUGAGAUGGCCUUCGCCGGGGAUAGGGUUGCGAUGAUUGAUUUCAGCAGGAACAGCAUCUGAUCCUGAAAAUCUUAACACCAUAUGGCAUUGCCACGGGGGAGGGAGGCUGUGCUGGCAACCUCCGAACUUGCACUUCGUGUUGUGGUAGCGCGUGUGAGCACUGUUAAGGGAAGACUGCUGAGCUCUGUGGAUAGGGGUCAAUUAGUAUGGGCCUCAGAGGAAGCAAUUUCCCUGCCGUCUAUCUCGCUUUAAAUUACAUGCAUAAGUUAAGCGACGGCACGAUGGAAUUGAGUAGUGUGAGGGGGAACUGAAAAGCUUGAUAAGGAGCAGGCAGCAAACAUGAGCCAAGGGGCUCACUGGAAGGUGGAAAGAAAGACCACCUUGUAGUCUGCAUUGCCAUGUUGCUGUAUGGCAGUGUUUUCCACCUCCCUGUCGCUGCCUCGUAGCCCUCGAUCUGGCUGAGGCUCCCCAUGUGUUAAAAACCGUGCAAGAGGGAUAAAAAAUCAGCCCCUGUCCCUAGGUGUUUACAGCUGGAGCAAGAACCGCAGUCUGUCCCAAGCACAAUUCAUGUUGGCUGGUGGCUGUAAAGCCUUGAGGGGCCUUGAUUGCUGUUUUUUUCCUCUUUCCUCCUUGUGCAUGCCUGUUGUGCUCUGUCAGGGUGUUCUUGUUUUUCUGUUCCCAAGCCCGAGCCUGCAGGGAGUGUGUCGGGCGCUGGAGCUGACAGCUGGCACCACAGGAGGGCCUUCGCCAGGUGGCCGCAGCGUUCUCGCUCGGGUCUUCCAACGUGGCACAUGAUCCUGUGGUGACCGUGUUGGCAGGGCCAGAUUUAAUCUUUGUGGAGCGUUUUGCAAUGUUUUUUUGUCACUUUUGUCCAGAUUUUAUGUGUCUGGGAUAAACAUACGUUCAGCAAUGAAUUUUUCUUUUGACCUCUGGAGGUUCUCGGGGACAACACCGGUUCUCCUACUGCCACCUCCCGCAGAGACCAGAGCAGCUGCAGGCGUCCUUGCUCACCAGCGCCACUCGGAGAUCUCAUUGAAGCUAUUUGACCUUCUGCAUUAGGGUCACAGCUUGCAAGGCGGGAAUGCAAUGUGGUCGGUGGGAGACAUGGGGUUGAAGAAGAUGUUGAGAGCCCAACGGAGUCGAGCUUUUGGUCUCCUUACUGUUCUGGCAAAUUACUGAGCGCAAGGUGUAGCCUCUGAAAUGGAACUGGAUGUCAUCUCUUUUACUGUUUCAUGUGUUGUUUUUUCCCUUUCCUCACAUGAUACUUAUCAAAGAAAGCACCCAAACCCCAUGAUAUUAGUGCUCAAUUUAGCAUUUACAUUAUAUAAACUGCUGUUUGAUACAGUGUAGUUUAUUAAAGGGGGGCAAAAAUGAAGUUUCUCCUGCCCAAGGAAAUCUCUUAGCGGUGGGAUUUGGUACUGAACAGAAUUUCAAGGAAUUCAGCAAAAUUGAAGGCCAGUCAAGGGCUUAACAGCCUCUUUCAUACAAACACUGCUUUCUACUUAGAUUGGAAAUUGCUUGCUUUAAAUCAUUGAACUAUGAUUGUUUGCCAGUGAAAUUGUCCGUAUGGUAAGAGAGGUUAACUGGUUCUGGUGGUUUCGCAUUUUGAUUGCACUGAAUAGUUCUUUGCACAUUUUUCUAAGUAUUAAUAUAGGUUAUACAGUUGGAGCAUCAGGAUUCUCCGCCGCACUUUGGAUUUCAGUGUCAUCACUGAUCAUUUAGUCUGGUUUUUUAAGCCGACAUAACAAAAUGUCUGUGUAUUGUUUAGGCUGGACAAGUUGCACGUGGUGUGCAAAAGAUGACGAAUGAAGUCAGCUUUUUUUUUAGAGCAGUAAUUAUCAUAAUAAGUACUUUUUUCCUUUUCCUUCCAAAUUGUCUGUGUCACUUUGGACCACAUAUUUCAGUUAGAGGUGCAUAGAACCAUCGUGACUUGGACUCCAAGGCCAGCUACAGCACUUUUGGAAAAUCUUGCCAAUUCUGUUUGUACAAAAUGUUGUGGGCUAUACACAUCAUGCAUUAUUCAUAUAGGGAGACUUGUUUGACCUGGUAAAUACGUCAUGUCAUAUGCUGCUAAUUCAGGGUGGGUAACAGUAAGUAAGAGUCGUGGGUUUUGUCUGCCUGGUCAUGUAUGUUCAUAUUACAUUUUUGUGGAGCCACUUUCCACACAAUUCUGUUUGGUAGGUGGACACCUAACACCUUUACUGAAGUCAGGGAAGACCUUGAUCGCUUGGAGAAUGAAUUAGGAUGUCAUAAAGUGAUCCCUUUUGAAGAGCAACAUCGUGGUACUGUGGUUUGGUUUUAAAAGAAAUGUGGUCUAGGAAGUUAGAUAUUCUGUAUAGUGUGUCUUGCAUUGAUGCAUAGCAAUGGCUGAGAACAGGUCCUUUCCAAAUAUCCUAAAAAUUUGUAUCUGUAAAAAGAAAACUAGUAGUCUUCCAACUCUUAACAUGCAUGUAUUUUAAGGGUUAGGCUUGGUGAAAUAUUUCUAAGCAGGCAAACCUGGAACGUACACCUUAAAGUCUCAUCAAAUACAGCAUAAUCCUUUCAAUCUCUGGUUGCAAUGGGAGGCAGCUGCUGAUGGUGUAGGGAAAGGCUUUAAGAUAAGCUUUUUGGAUGUACUCAAGUGCAUUAGGAGCAAUAAGAAAGUAACUUGUGUCACUGUAAGAAAGUCCCUGGGACUUGGCCUUGGUUGCUAACAAUUACUGAGUCACUGGCUAUGUGCUUAAAAAUUGCCAGCAGGUACUGUGUCUUCUGAGGAGUACCACCAUCCGAAGAAAGUGUUUCCCUCCUUCUGUAGCAUCUGUAUUUUUUGACAACUCAUCUACUUUGGAUAAUCAUGCUGAACCAGAAAGUCUUGAAGCAUGUAGUUUUGUUUGAGACUUUUUUGCUAUUUGGGAGCCCAGCCUGAUGUGUGUGUCUUCUCUUUUCUUUUGGGUACCUUUAUUGUUUUCCACAGUCGUAUCUUGUUCAGUCACAUGCAAACACCUGUCCUGAAAUUGAAUUACUCUGCGACGUAAUGUAAAAUCAUCCCCCAUUUCAGCAUCCUGCACUUUCUCUCGUGUGUCGAGUUAUGUUGCACCAUACUUCAGAUGCGACAGCCAUUUAAUAAUGUUGAAGCCUUAGCUCUGAAGGGGCUAAAAUGAUCCCAGCAGGCUUGUUAACUUCUGCUCUCAGACAUUAUGGGAAAUAUUUUCUCCUCCCUGGAACUCCUAGGCAUCCUCUUAAUUAAGACUAUAAAAAUCCCUAGCCAGGUAUGCAUGAAGCCUGUUGAAUUUUCUUUGUGGUGUUUCCAGAGUUCCUUCCUAUUUAAUCAGACACUCCAGUGCCAAGUGAGAUAUGGGAAGGUAAAAGGAAUAAAGGCGUCCUGGAUCAUGCUGGAUAGUGCACUCUUGGCGGGCAGCAAGUUCAUCAAAUGCCUUUCCCUUACUCACCAUAGGGUUUUGUUCUUUUCCCUGCUCUACCCAGUAUUUUCUUUUAUCUCAGUCUCUGAAGUGUUGGACAUUUUAAAACUUUGCACCUUUCCUGUCUCAGGACAGUGUUCCUUUCAAUUCCAGACUGCUGUGGCUGAUGUGUCUGUUGUAUUUCUAUGUAGGAACACCGUUAACUGGUAUCAGACUUCAGUUGACUAGGAGUUAUUUGUACAGCUGUUAGGAAGCAGAGAAGCAGUAUUAGAAUUUGGGUGGAGGGAGGAAUGUAACAUUAACACUAGAAAAUUAUGGGAAAUCCUAGAGAGUUCAGGAUGGAUAUCACUUAAGGUGAGGACAGAGGAAGAGGAAAGAGGAGCUGCAGAGCACUCAGAGAAGGACACAAAAGUGGUGGAGGGUUGGUUAUAACGUGCAAAGCCUUGGUGAGAGGGUGCCUGCUCCUCCGUAGGAGUCAGUUACCAUGGGGCAGACCAACCGAGCACUGGACGUGAUUUGCUGAAAGCAGGGGUACAGCAGUAGUGCUGAAAAUGGUGGUGAGGUCUCCCCUGGUCCAAAGAGCAUGGAAUAUAUCUGCUGCUGUGAGCAAGAGAUUUGCUAUUAGUAAUUCAGGUAAGGCACUUGAAGAGCUCACCAGUAACCAUCAUCCUAGCACUUCUCUGGGGGAAGGCCAAGACCCGAUACAGCAGAAGGGGACCUUGAUGAGGGUGAGCAAGGCUUUUGACAUGCUCUUGUUGAUAGGGAAAUCUAGUUUCUUUAAUUCAUUUUUUAAAUUGACUAGAAUUUAUGGAGAAAAUAUGGGUACCGGGGUGAGCACAUGGUAUGGGAGAAGUCACAUGAUCCGAACAAGUUGUCUGAGAGCUAAGGAAAUGAUAAAGGAGUAUGUACAAACAGAUUGACAAAUGUGAAAGAGGGAGGGGAUUCUGGCAAAUGACAGGCUGAAAAUGAUGAUUUUUGCACAAGGACUGCUUGGACUUAGAGGUUUCUCUGUGGUGUGUAUUCUGUGUCCUAGGGAAGCUAGAACAUGCUGACAGCACAUCAGUCUGCACUGUGUUAACACAAGGAAUUUGCUCCAUCAUCACAAAAUAAAUACCCUAAACCGACUGCGGUUCAGUAACAUCCAUCCUUCUACACAUCCUAACUGCUGGGUGGGGAUGAAGAGGUGGUGCACUGACCUUGGAAGAGAGCUGAAGAGCUCUAGCCAUCUGUGUAGAAGGUACUAGGAGGACAGAGCGUGAUUAUCGUGGUGCAGUUAAAGAGGCCAGAAAUGGGAAAGGAGAGGCAGGGAGUAGAUGUUGUCAAAUAUGUGAUCUCCAAAGUGAGUCAUGUCAGUCAAAGGCCAUUGGUUUUAGAGUGAGCAGAAGAGGAGAAAAUUUAUUUUGAAGGGUUGUGGGUUUGAAUAGAAUACCCACCAGGGUGUGGGUGGGAGAAGACUCGAUGGCACAAGCUUAGUAAUGAUGUAAAACCCAUUCCCUCUAAAUCAUCAGUUCAUCUAGGCUCUGGGAGGCAAAGAUCACAGUUGGCUGCUUGCUUGGAAGCUGAUGUAAAAUAAAUUGGAGGUCAAAGUCCAGUGGAGGUGGCAGUGUCAUGAAAAUAAUCACUGAGAUGGGUCUUAAUUAUCAUCCUUGAAAAUUUCAGAAGACAUACUCAGGAAUGAACGGGGUUCAGAGCCAUUUACAAUCUUUUAAUGUUUUCCCCUCCGGUUAGGAAUUGUGGUGACCUGCUGUAUAAGAGUUUGCAUUGCUGCUCCCCUCCCUGCAUCUAAUUGGACGAUACGUGGUGCUCACUGGCUGGGAGAGAGCCAAGCUCACACCUGUGAUGAGUCUUAGGCACCAGCUGAACAUACUCCCUUAACCCAGGUAACUGACUGAGUACUGCAUUUGAGUGAUUUUUUUUUUUUCCAAGUUUUGCAGAAAAAGAAACAAGCAAGCAGAGGCCAAGCAUUUAACGGAUAUAUUUUUCACUGGCUCUUUUAUCAACGGUGUAUGAAAAAUCCCAAAGGACAGAAGCAGUUAGCUAACCAAUGAGGCAUCAUAGCUGAUUUUAGGUUCCAUGCAGGAGAAAAAGAUGCUGAAGCACCAGCAGCUCUAAGGGAAAAGGAUUUAAAUUUAGGUUUGGUCCUGAGAAACAAGCCUCCCUUCGGCUUGGAGAGCAGUCCAUAGGAGAUUGCUGUACCCCAGAGCAGCAGUUUGGAGGCUGAUAGAGAUGUCAGCCUGUGAGUGCAAAGACUUGUACCACUAGAUGAUGAACCAGCAGGGAUUUCUCAUUAAUGGAAUGAAUGUUAACAAGAAUAAUUUGGUUUUGUGAGCUUGUGUGUGUGGGAAGGAUAAAUGAUAGGGACUGAUGGAUGGUCUUCACAGGGAUUUGAUUAGGGAGGUGAAUGGCAGUGUGUGUGUGAGAGAGGGGGAGAUGUAUGCACGUGGUGCAUCCAUUGCAGAAGGCAGGCACGCUUCUAGUUGAUAAUGUUUGACAGAGGAGAGUCAGCAGAAGUCACCAGGCGGGUCCUAGGUGAAAGCAGAAGCUGAGCAGCGGGGUGGAUAUUUCAUUUUUAGUGUCUUUUGCAUUGUAGGGUCUUGGUUUUUAUGCUGUGUGGUGGUAACAAACCUGUAUCCAAGAAUUUCUCUAUAAAACUUUUCUCAGUAAAAAAGGUUUCUGCUUUAUGCUAAUAAAAUGUUUGGCUAUUUGAUACUAAUUCCCACAGUCAGUAUGGGAGCACUGAGUGACAGCUUUUCUGACCUGCUUAGCAUCAGUCUUGGCUCUAAAGUAACACUGUGUUAGAGCUUGUACAAUCCCUUCCCCAUCCCUGAAAAAGCAGGAGACAGGCCAGACCUACUGGUUGAGGCACCGGGCAGGCAGAACCAACAGAAACAAUCCCUCAUCCUGCCUGAGGCCUUCAAAUGCCGCCAGAAUGCAAAUAAUAAAUAAAAAAAACCCCAAAUAGUCACAUACACUGAAUAUGCACUCUAGUGGGUUUAGCAGCUCCAUCCUCAGGUACAGGAACAGCUGCAAAAAACGACGGAACUGCAAGAACUGCUCGAGAGGGAUAUAGAUACAGGGGAAGAAACGUGAAUCCCUUUGGCAGUGAGAUAUGAGAGACCCCUAACCUGAAAACCCAAACCUCUGAUGUCUUUGCUUCUGCCUUUGCCAGAAAGCCUUUAGGAGCCCCCGUCUGAGGCCAGAGCGCAGCCAGCUGGAACACGGCUGCAGGGUAGCAGAUGGCAGGAGGAGUUCCCGACCCCGGGUUGUCCAGUGCUGCCAGCCUCACGCGCGGGGUGCCAGGCACGGGGAAGCCGGCGGCCAAGCUGGCUGCUCCCCUCGGGAGCCAGUGGGACAGCAGAGGUGGAGACUUGGCUCUGUCCCUCGGCUUGCUGGCCAAAAGAGCUGCGCUGGCACAAGGGAGGGAGUGUGCUGGAAGGUGACUGCAGCCAAUUACUCCCAGCCGGGCAGGGAAGGGAGAGAGGAGAUGUGCUCCUUUCCAGGGCUCUCUGCAUCCUGGGGCGAUGCUUGUGCCUGCCAGCCUGCCUGGGUGCAAGCAAUGUGUAGCGGCUCAAGCUGCCCCUGGGGAUUUCAAGGCUGCUGGUGGAGCGUGUGAGCCACACCGCUGAAAGCUAGUGUGGCUGCUCUUAACUGUAGGUGCUCACUGGCAUGGAGGGGGGCUCUGUCACUAACAGUUCCUGGGACUGAGCUGUUUUUCUUCGACAGCGUUAGUCUGGAUUCCUUAUGAUUUCUGAUCUGUAUUUGCCAUCUGUUUUCCCCAAUGGUGUUAUGCAUUUUUUUCAGAUCAAAAAAGUGAAAUUGUUUACCCAUUCCCCAAAUUUAAUCUCAUAUAUAAACUGGGAAAAAAAAAAAAUUAUAAAAUGGUGUGUACUGAAUGUAAAGGAGGGACACAUUUGCUUGUUCUUUCUCCUAUGGAGAAACACAUUACUCCUCAGACUAAUCCUAUUGAUUGAGUUGGGGAACUGCUGCCUGCAGUCAGUCAAGUCCGAGUGACAGGAUCUGGCCCUACAGUGGCAGGUUUCCAUGACUGUGGCACAAAUAGUUUAUUCCCCAGGUAGCUCCACUGAAAUCUCCUGAGGUUACCAGUGAGUGAGCUAUUCAACAGGAUCUGGGUUUUCAAAGCAUGACCCCAACUUAGGAGUACAUUAAAAAAAUUUCUAUUUGCAGUGUCCCAUGGUGAAGAUUUACUUUUCAGUUGGUGGAGCUGGCGGCAGUGAAAGUCAAAUGAGUUUCCUAAUCUGGUAUGUUCUAAAUCUGGUUUGUCUCAAAUACGGCCUGAGAGAUAUGCAGCGCAAGUGGAAAAAUAACUGCCAGCAUGCAGAUGCAUGUCCUCUUGGAGCAAAUAAAGCUGACUUUUAAAAUAAAUGUUCAAUCUCAUCCUUGGUAUGAAGGGAGACAGGCCUGUAGCUCAGGUAUGGGGAGAGAUAUUUUAAGGUGGGCUAUGGAAGCAAACUCACCACCAAGCUUCUGACCUGGCAUACGUGUCCCUUUUUAUCUGCUAAGUCCAAUAAUAAGCUUGUUAUUAGAGGACAUCUGUUACCGCCUGAUAACACGUACAGUGAGCAGGAGCGCAGCGUCGGUGGGCAGCCAGGGAUUUUGGCAGCUGUGGGGAGCAGCAGCUUCGUGGACUGUUUCACACCUCGUCCAGAGCUGGCGUGUCCCUCCUGUGGGUCUGCGGCUGGGUGGGAGGACGCCAGGAGUUUGAGGCGCGGGCUGUUCCCACAUGGAGCUCUCCGGUGCCAGCUGGCAUGCACGUGUGCCGAAGCCACCUGCGACGUGUGCGGGAGCCACAGCCGGCCCACUCGGUGCCGAUGCGGUGGGACUCUCAUCGUAUCUCUGGGACAGGGAGCGGAGUGGCUGGGAGAAACGUGCCCUGCACUGGGCUCUGCCUUUUUCUUCCUUCCGUAUUUCCAGGAGAUGUCAUUCACACACCAGAUUCUUGCCCCCAAGCCUCCUUUCCUGAAGAGAAACAUUCAGGGAGACUCUGUAUGAGCUGAAUCUGAUCAUCAGGAGGUUUUCCCCAAAGUCAUUGCUGUAGGUAAUGUAUAUUUAUGAGCGGAACAAAGUGGGCCAUAGAUACUUUCAAAGGCUGCUUUCCUCUCAGGGUGGCUCAGUUAUUUAGGCAAGUAAGGAGGGGAGAUGCUGUCCAGACCACAUUCACUGGUAGCAGAGCAGGCUGGCGCGGGAGAGGUGACAGGCAUCCUUCACCUGCCAGCCGGCGGGCUGCCUCUGCCAGGCAGGGAGGGCUCCUGCCUGCCGGUCAGGAGAUGGUGUUGCGCCGUGGGUCAGGAGAUGGUGUUGCUUUGCAGAUCAGGAGAUGAUGUUGCUCCGUGGGUCAGGCGAUGUCGUUGCUCUGCAGGUCAGGAGAUGGUGUUGCUCUGCAGGUCAGGAGAUUGCGUUGCUCCUUUGGGUGCUGACACGUCUCAGUGAGACGCACAGCCCCGUUCCAUCCAGAACACCUGUUCCCAGCGCUGAAGCAUUCCGAUGGUUCUUUUAAGCAGUAGUGUAUCUUAUUUUCAAGGCAGUCCGAAGUGAAUGGCAAGCUAAAGUCUUGUUUUAAGAAACUGCUUAGUCCACCAUUGAAGAAUAUACUCAGAUACUAUUUUCAUUUAUGUAUAGGGGUUUCCUCAAAAGCAAAAGACAAAAAUCUGGGAGCCUGGGGAAUUGGCCAGCUUCUUCACACUCAGUACACUGAUUCUUUCUUUGAUGUAACUUAGCUAUACUAGUGAAGUUGUUGUCUAUUUUUAAAGUGGCUGUAAAAAAAAAAAAAGUUUGGGUAAACCCCUGCUAUAAAGUCAUGUAUCUUUGAAAAGUAACAUAUCUAUACUUCAUUUUCAAAUAUAUGUGUUUCAGUACUGUAAACUGUACAGAUAGCCGCUUGUAUUUUGUGUGUUUAGACACAAGGAGACAAUCAUGUCUGAGCAUCUAUGGAGAUUAACGGUUUGUACUCAACAGUGUGGUUCUGCGAGUUAAAUCCGGAGCAAUAAAUUCUAGCUUUAACUAUUAUUUUGCUAGUUGUUUAGCAGCAACAACAACAGCAGCACUGUUUUACCAUGCAUCCUUCCAUAGAGACUUGAUGCCAAGUUUUCCAAGAUGAAAAGAUUGUGAUGCAUCUAGCAAUUACCUUCCAUUGUGGUGGUAUAAGAGGGGAAGACAUAACAUUUAAAAUUAAUCUUUCAAGCACUAUAUUAGAGUAGUGGUUUGUGCACUUGCAUUGCUUCCAAAGGAGCUUUACAGAGGGGUAUCUCUCCAAAAAUGCUGUCUGGUGUCUGACUUGCUUUUCACUGUGCUCUGAGGUGGAGUGCCCAGCAUAGGCAGAUGUGCGAAAAACAGUUGUCUAUAUCAAGGUUAUUCUAGGAUGCAAAACAAAGUGAGGAUGAGACCUUAGAAAAAAUGAUGACUCAGCCUAAUUACCCUUCACUUAUGAGUUCUUAUGUAAUGUUUUCAGUCAAUGGAGUAAAUAAAGUGGAAUGCCAUAUUUUUGGUCCAAGUGGAGCUCUUCACAGUUAAGUGAGUUUUGACAGUUGGACUGGUUUGGAUCUCACUUGCACUUGUGUUCAUUUGAGAGUCUGGAUAUUUGCGGUAUAAAAAUGAACUUUUUUAAAAAAAUGUUUAAGAGAGAGACCACUUCUCCCCACACGUUUCUUGGUCCACUGAUCUCGGCUUUGCUGAACAGCUGGUCCCUUAGGCCCCCAGAAGAAUGCUCCGCCGUUCUUCUUCCUGCCCUAGCUGCACAGAGGAAAUGUCUACUCCUCGAAAAGGCAGCGCAUGGAGGGAUGUAACUCACAUGGAAAAAAUACGGAGGAUACUGGACUUAGGGAUACUUAUUAUCAGUUGAUCAUAAUUUUUUAUUGCUUGGGUUUGUCACAUUGCGGCCAUCUCAUCAAAGUAAGCAAUGCUGUUGUGCAAUGUAUUUGAUAGAUUUAUCAUUUUAUACAAGAUAGGACUGCCAGUAUUUUCACAGGCAAGGUGCUGCACCUGGAAAUAACCAGUUAACGAUGCACAGCAUGUUCAAAUCUCCUAUUGUUUCAGCACUUUCUCUGUUUUUCGCUAAGUCUGUCAGCCUUUGGCCUCUGGUCACACUCACUUGGUGAAGCACACGGGAUGGUUGGGAGCGCCGCUGUGUGGAACCUGUGCAGGUUUGGGAGAAGCUGUCUUUGGCAGGGGAGGGAACUCUCAGGAGUGGUGGCUAUGGGAAUGGCCCAGAAAGCGAAGAUGGAGGGGUGGCAGAGGAGAAAGAAGCCUCCUGGGGUCACAUGUGUGUGUCAGCAGGGCCAGGCCGAGCGUGGGUGACUGGGUGUAACUGGAGGAGCGUGGGAGGGCUGGGCUUGCACCGCGUCCUCAACUUAGGGUUGAUGCACGUCUCUACGUUUUUGCGUUGUAUGACAUCACAUACGGCUUCAGAGAUUGAAUGUCACACUUAAAAUGCUUCUGUCAUGCUGCCCCUCUUACAGUUUGUAAGAGAUCCUCAGUUGAAUACUCAUCCAAUACCCAUGCAGUCAAUGAGCUUUACAUCUGUUUGUAUGGCAACCGUGUAUGGAUUUUUUUUGUGUUGGGGACUUUUGGGUUAGGGCCUCUGUUACUGACCACGAGACCAAUAUAAGCUCUGUAAGGUUUUUGCUACCAAAAUGCUGAUUGAUUUACAAACUGAAGCCUUAUUUGCACAUCUGGCUGGUAAGCUUGCCUUGGUUUUUGGAAAAUUGUGAUUGCUCUUACAGAAGAGAGACAAAAUUAAGUUCAGGCUACAUUAGGUGUACAAAGAUAUUCAUAGCGAUGUACUUACUGUCUAAUACCCUAAUGUUGCAUGUCUUGAUGUGGUUUCUUUUUUUGUUUUGUCAUUUUGUUUUAAAGAACUGAUGGAUCUGUAUAUUGUAAUUGUGGUGUUUUACAUGUCAAUCAAAAUUGUUAUAACAAACAAACAAACAAGCAAACCUGUUAAUUAUUGAAAAUGAAUAAGAGUUGAUUUUUCUUUGAUUUACCCAUCUGGUUUUUAUUUUGGAUGUUGUUCCUUUGCACCAUCAGAUUUUUAGAUUUUGCUGAAACUAUUUAUAUGAUGUAGUGCACAUAGAACAUUUUAAUUAGUGAUGUUUGAAGAAGGAAAUCCCUUUUCUGGCCUGUCUCUCUCCACCCUAGCCCUACCCCCUCCCCAUUUAUACACAUAUUUGCCAAUCGGAUUAUUGUCAAGUUCUAAUUACUAAAUUUGUAAAUGGACCUUUUCACAAGGUCCAAACCCAUUUUCCAGUAUGAGAAUUUGUAGUCCUUUAUGUCUUUCAUUCUCACAAUGAAAAAAAAAAAAGAAAAAAAAAAAAAAG